AUGAAGUAUAGGGAGUUGUUGCUGGCUCUAUUCGAGCAUGUGCACACUCCUUCACUUUACUUUACCACCUGUGCACCUUUUGUAGACUAGUGAUCGUCAAGGCUGGAUUGGAGUUUGCACUUUUGUGCUUUCUCUGCUAUCAUUAGUCUAUGUUUUACAUACACUAUGAAUGUCAAGCAUGUCAUUAACAGGUCUUUGACCUUUAAUACAAUA
This 213-nucleotide unclassified non-coding RNA is filed under the name uncultured Agaricales. RNAcentral describes it as "sequence contains ITS1". The record is from RNAcentral. Lineage: Eukaryota; Fungi; Basidiomycota; Agaricomycetes; Agaricales.